CCACCGGCUGUCAAAAGCCGUCUGGUCACCUUUGGGAUUUAUAUCUACUCANAACUUUANUGAUUUUGUCUGAAACAUAUUAUGAAUACUUAAUUCAAAAUACAACUUUCAACAACGGAUCUCUUGGCUCUCGCAUCGAUGAAGAACGCAGCGAAAUGCGAUACGUAAUGUGAAUUGCAGAAUUCAGUGAAUCAUCGAAUCUUUGAACGCAUAUUGCGCUCUCUGGUAUUCCGGAGAGCAUGCUUGUUUGAGUAUNANUAAACACCUCAACUUCCAUAUCUUUUUUGAAAUGGGAGUUGGACUUGANUGAUCCCAACGCUUUUCCUCACCGAAAAGUGGCGGNUUACUUGAAAUGCANGUGCAGCUGGACUUUUCUCUGANCUAUAANCAUAUCUAUUUAGUCUGCCUAAAAAACAGAUUAUUACCUUUGCUGCAGCUAACAUAAAGGAGAUUANUUCUUGUGCUGACUGAUGCAGGAUUCACAAAGACAGGCUUCGGCCGACUUUGUAAACUCGAUCUCAAAUCAAGUAAGACUACCCGCUGAACUUAAGCAUAUCA
Molecule: ribosomal RNA, 558 nt
Filed under: Mortierella sp.
Lineage: Eukaryota; Fungi; Mortierellomycota; Mortierellomycetes; Mortierellales; Mortierellaceae
Description: eukaryotic LSU rRNA
Rfam family: 5.8S ribosomal RNA (bases 104-257)
Source: RNAcentral